This 429-nucleotide ribosomal RNA is filed under the name Chloroflexota bacterium. RNAcentral's name for it is "Chloroflexi bacterium partial 16S ribosomal RNA". It matches the Rfam family "Bacterial small subunit ribosomal RNA", at positions 355 to 776 of the family's 1533-position model. The record is from RNAcentral. Lineage: Bacteria; Bacillati; Chloroflexota.
UGGGGAAUAUUGCACAAUGGGCGCAAGCCUGAUGCAGCCAUGCCGCGUGUAUGAAGAAGGCCUUCGGGUUGUAAAGUACUUUCAGUCGGGAGGAAGGUGGUAAGGUUAAUAACCUUGGCAAUUGACGUUACCGACAGAAGAAGCACCGGCUAACUCCGUGCCAGCAGCCGCGGUAAUACGGAGGGUGCAAGCGUUAAUCGGAAUUACUGGGCGUAAAGCGCACGCAGGCGGUUGAUUGAGUCAGAUGUGAAAUCCCCGGGCUUAACCCGGGAAUUGCAUCUGAUACUGGUCAGCUAGAGUCUUGUAGAGGGGGGUAGAAUUCCAUGUGUAGCGGUGAAAUGCGUAGAGAUGUGGAGGAAUACCGGUGGCGAAGGUGGCCCCCUGGACAAAGACUGACGCUCAGGUGCGAAAGCGUGGGGAGCAAACAGG